UUGAUGUUAAGUCAUACCCUCUUUUCCCCACGGGCGCCCAGUGUGCAGUGGCUGCAAACUGCAGCCUCCUUGCUAGUGUAUUCAGCCUGUUGCCUGUGUGGGUUGCCCUAAGGGCCUCAGAGGUAGUC
This 128-nucleotide small nucleolar RNA is filed under the name Catagonus wagneri (Chacoan peccary). Its description in RNAcentral is "Small nucleolar RNA SNORA70 (ENSCWAG00000003352.1)". It matches the Rfam family "Small nucleolar RNA SNORA70". From Rfam's summary of the family: snoRNA U70 seems to be exclusive to mammals and is a member of the H/ACA class of snoRNA which contain H (ANANNA) and ACA box motifs. Lineage: Eukaryota; Metazoa; Chordata; Mammalia; Artiodactyla; Tayassuidae. The record is from Rfam by way of RNAcentral.